CCCACACUCAUACAUGUGCCCCUGUCCACUAAGCUGCGCACUCUCCCUGGGGCCUUAUCAAAUGCUGUCAGCAGCUACCUAACGGUUUGUUGGUUGUUAAUCCUAAUUAAUCACUUGCAUGUUAUGACGCCUUCUAAGAGUUUACACAGGACAUUCAGUAAAUAUGUCCCGAGGUGAAGCACAUUAGGUUCACCUGUGAACUGCCUAUAAUUACCAACUACAUCGAUCACAAACCACACACAAACUGGAAUACUAGACCGUUGCCCUAAUCAUACCUCCUAAUUGUCCCUAGUUUGGUUUCCAAUCCAUCUGUCCUUAUUUUCUCUCCUAAUGUCCCUCUUUUCUAGAAACUUCAUAUUGUUGGUGUAUCUACGUGCACACCACAGCUCCAAAGCAUUAAUACUCACAGCAAUGUCUUUAAACUACAAUAAAUAGCAUUUGGAGUUUUUGACACACCAGAAUAUUUGACACACACGUACAGUAUAUUUUAACUUAAAUUUAGACAAAAAAAAUAAAACAACCUAUUACCUGAUUACAGUAACAUUCCGUUUAUGCUUAUAGGGGAUCUAAUGUGUGUAUGGUGUGUAUAGGCGGUCUCUAAAUGAAAUCUGGCAGUGUCCUUGCCUCAUUAUUAUUAUUAUAUGUGUCUGUCUGUGAGUGUGACCAGCGCCUUCCAGUCAUGUGGGAAAGUUGUUUUUAUUCACCUUUUUUCCCACGCAGUGCCGUCUCCCAAUUUCUGUCCCCAAAUCUAUUGCUGAGAUAAUCAAUCUUGAUGAUCUCAGGCAAUCCAGUUCUUUCCCAAAGUAUUGGGAGGUUAUUGAUCAGGUUCUGCAAAACGCUGCACCAAUCAGCAUCUCCUCAGGGUCAAGGCAUCUCUAUUGCGAAUGUUCAACACCUCCAUGCAGAGAGUGGAGACUCUAUAUGCAUGUGCUACACACUGUGCAGAACUGGACUAAGAAUCACCUCUAGUGGCUGUCUGAGUGACUGUCACUAGAGGUGUCACUAGGAAGCAAUGUAAACUCCGUAUUUUCUCUGAAUAGGCAGUGUUUAGAUUGAAAAGCCUUCAGGGACAGGAUAUACACACCACUACCUUAAUAUACAUACAUAAGGUGGAGCUUGUAUAAAUCUGUAAAAAUAAAACAAAACAGUGGUGCAAUAUUGCCAGUUCAAAUAUUUCAAAGUUACUCACAAGUAAAGAGCCAUUAACCUCAUAUGGCUCUGAUGGAAGGUGUAGUAGGACGCUUAGAGGAGGUCCAACUCCUAUU
This is a non-coding RNA of Pelobates cultripes (western spadefoot toad), 1265 nucleotides long. NCBI's taxonomy places the organism in Eukaryota, Metazoa, Chordata, Amphibia, Anura, Pelobatidae. The record is from the annotation of a GenBank genome assembly.